AAGUCGUAACAAGGUUUCCGUAGGUGAACCUGCGGAAGGAUCAUUAACGAUGGGGUGAUUGAUUUAACACGCUUACACACACCUGUGCACCAACCGGGCAGCCGGAGCAGACGCGUAGCGUAGGCGACACGACACACACAUACAACUCCUAACAACGGAUCUCUUGGCUCUC
This is an unclassified non-coding RNA of 172 nucleotides. The stretch from base 1 to 46 matches the Rfam family "Eukaryotic small subunit ribosomal RNA", at positions 1786 to 1831 of the family's 1831-position model.